This 866-nucleotide ribosomal RNA is filed under the name Nectria pseudocinnabarina. RNAcentral's name for it is "LSU rRNA". It matches the Rfam family "Eukaryotic large subunit ribosomal RNA", at positions 35 to 934 of the family's 3401-position model. Lineage: Eukaryota; Fungi; Ascomycota; Sordariomycetes; Hypocreales; Nectriaceae. The record is from RNAcentral.
UAAGCAUAUCAAUAAGCGGAGGAAAAGAAACCAACAGGGAUUGCCCUAGUAACGGCGAGUGAAGCGGCAACAGCUCAAAUUGAAAUCUGGCCCUUGUGGUCCGAGUUGUAAUUUGUAGAGGAUGCUUUGGGUUAGGUGCCUUCCGAGUUCCCUGGAACGGGACGCCAUAGAGGGUGAGAGCCCCGUCUGGUUGGAUACCGAGCCUCUGUAAAGCUCCUUCGACGAGUCGAGUAGUUUGGGAAUGCUGCUCUAAAUGGGAGGUAUAUGUCUUCUAAAGCUAAAUACCGGCCAGAGACCGAUAGCGCACAAGUAGAGUGAUCGAAAGAUGAAAAGCACUUUGAAAAGAGGGUUAAAAAGUACGUGAAAUUGUUGAAAGGGAAGCGCUUGUGACCAGACUUGGGCCCGGUCAAUCAUCCAGGGUUCUCCCUGGUGCACUUGGCCGGCCCAGGCCAGCAUCAGUUUGUCGCGGGGGAUAAAGGCGUCGGGAAUGUGGCUCCCCCGGGAGUGUUAUAGCCCUUCGUGUAAUACCCUGCUUCGGACUGAGGUUCGCGCAUCUGCAAGGAUGCUGGCGUAAUGGUCAUCAGCGACCCGUCUUGAAACACGGACCAAGGAGUCGUCUUCGUAUGCGAGUGUUCGGGUGUCAAACCCCUACGCGUAAUGAAAGUGAACGCAGGUGAGAGCUUCGGCGCAUCAUCGACCGAUCCUGAUGUUCUCGGAUGGAUUUGAGUAAGAGCAUACGGGGCCGGACCCGAAAGAAGGUGAACUAUGCCUGUAUAGGGUGAAGCCAGAGGAAACUCUGGUGGAGGCUCGCAGCGGUUCUGACGUGCAAAUCGAUCGUCAAAUAUGGGCAUGGGGCGAAAGACUAA